Molecule: transfer RNA, 70 nt
Filed under: Dipodomys ordii (Ord's kangaroo rat)
Lineage: Eukaryota; Metazoa; Chordata; Mammalia; Rodentia; Heteromyidae
Rfam family: tRNA
About the family: Transfer RNA (tRNA) molecules are approximately 80 nucleotides in length. Their secondary structure includes four short double-helical elements and three loops (D, anti-codon, and T loops).
Source: Rfam by way of RNAcentral
GCUGCUCAAACUCAGCGGUAGAGUGCAUGCCUUGCAAGCAUGAGGCCCUGGGUUCGAUUCCUCAGCACCA